RNAcentral lists this long non-coding RNA (233 nucleotides) under Dasypus novemcinctus (nine-banded armadillo). RNAcentral describes it as "lncRNA (ENSDNOG00000050218.1)". Lineage: Eukaryota; Metazoa; Chordata; Mammalia; Cingulata; Dasypodidae. The record is from RNAcentral.
AGAUUUUUCAAUGUGUAUUUUUAUUUGAACCUGAAAAUUUACUUGUGUGUCUUCUUCCUUAGCAUGAGAAACAACUGCAACAUGCCUUACAUGCCUACAUAAUAGACUAUUUUCAAAAGUCACAGGAAACAGGAGUAGUUCUGUACAGUCAUUUGAAACUAAGCUUGGAAGACAUGCAGAAAGAGGUACAAAGAACUUUGUCAUUGCUUCAAAAUUUGUGGCCAGAAGGAGCU